Molecule: long non-coding RNA, 529 nt
Filed under: Eucalyptus grandis
Lineage: Eukaryota; Viridiplantae; Streptophyta; Magnoliopsida; Myrtales; Myrtaceae
Description: long non-coding RNA (EGRA_LNC007252)
Source: RNAcentral
CACCACUCCAUCUCCAACGCCUCUGCUAGCCGCUACCGCGCCUCAGCCACCGCGACUCCGCCUCUGCAGCAAUCGACGCCGCCGCGCCUCCGCCGCCGCGCCUCCGCACCCGUGAACUCGCCCCGACAUCCCUGUUCACCGCGCUGACGUUGUUCGGAGCCGAAGACCAGCGACCCGAUGCUGCAAUCCAAGCUGCUCCGCCCACGAGCCAGAACUUGAACCCGCUGUAACGCCGGUUUUUCCCUUCGCCGGAGCACGACGCCCAAGUUCCGCCAUUGAAACCGACGCCACCGCGCCAUCACCGCUUCCUGCUCAGUCCCCGCACCUGCUCGGAGUCCAAUCGACAGCACCGGAGCGCCGAUCUCGCUCCCCAGACUCGGCAUUAACGCGCAGCAUCACAGCCGCCAACGCUCGCGCUCCCCGCCACUCCACCGUGCCACUGCUCCAACCAGUUCCGCACCCGGAAUCCUCUGCCUGCGACGCCCAUCACCGGCGGUCCGAGUUACCGUGCAUCAUUUCCCCCCAGCCG